RNAcentral lists this ribosomal RNA (169 nucleotides) under uncultured bacterium. Its description in RNAcentral is "partial 16S ribosomal RNA". It matches the Rfam family "Bacterial small subunit ribosomal RNA", at positions 338 to 524 of the family's 1533-position model. The record is from RNAcentral.
CCUACGGGAGGCAGCAGUGGGGAAUAUUGCACAAUGGGGGAAACCCUGAUGCAGCAACGCCGCGUGAGCGAUGAAGGCCUUCGGGUUGUAAAGCUCUGUCUUCAGGGACGAUAAUGACGGUACCUGAGGAGGAAGCCACGGCUAACUACGUGCCAGCAGCCGCGGUAAU